This 381-nucleotide ribosomal RNA is filed under the name uncultured euryarchaeote. Its description in RNAcentral is "bacterial SSU rRNA". It matches the Rfam family "Archaeal small subunit ribosomal RNA", at positions 471 to 851 of the family's 1478-position model. The record is from RNAcentral. Lineage: Archaea; Methanobacteriati; Methanobacteriota.
UAAUACUAGCGGUCCAAGUCGCAGCCAUUUUUAUUGGGUCUAAAACAUCCGUAGCUUGCUUUGUAAGUCUUUUGUGAAAUCUGGCAUCUCAAAUGUUAGGCGUGCAAAAGGUACUGCAAAGCUAGAGACUGGAAGACGUAAAGAGUACGUUUGAAGUAACGGUAAAAUGUGUUAAUCUCAAACGGACUAACAAUAGCGAAGGUACUUUACGAGGACAGUUCUGACAGUAAGGGAUGAAGGCUAGGGGCGCAAAACGGAUUAGAUACCCGUGUAGUCCUAGCAGUAAACACUGCACACUAAACAUUAGUACCUCUUCGAGAGGUAUUAGUGCUGAAGGGAAGCCGAAGAGUGUGCUACCUGGGAAGUAUAGUCGCAAGGCCG